Molecule: ribosomal RNA, 543 nt
Filed under: uncultured fungus
Lineage: Eukaryota; Fungi
Description: eukaryotic LSU rRNA
Rfam family: 5.8S ribosomal RNA (bases 205-358)
Source: RNAcentral
AAGUCGUAACAAGGUUUCCGUAGGUGAACCUGCGGAAGGAUCAUUACAGAGAACUUGCCCUUCGGGGUAGAUCUCCCACCCUUUGUUUAUUCACUAUGUUGCUUUGGCGGGCCCGUCUCGCGACCGCCGGCUUCGGCUGGCCUGCGCCCGCCAGAGGACCUCAAACUCGAAUUUAAUGUCGUCAGAGUAUUAUACAAUAGUUAAAACUUUCAACAACGGAUCUCUUGGUUCUGGCAUCGAUGAAGAACGCAGCGAAAUGCGAUAAGUAAUGUGAAUUGCAGAAUUCAGUGAAUCAUCGAAUCUUUGAACGCACAUNGCGCCCUCUGGUAUUCCGGGGGGCAUGCCUGUUCGAGCGUCAUUACAACCCUCAAGCUCUGCUUGGUAUUGGGCGCCACCCUUUGGGUGCGCCUCAAAAUCAGUGGCGAUGCCGUCCGGCUUCAAGCGUAGUAAUUUUCUCGCUCUGGAGCUCCGGCGCGUGUCCGCCAGCAACCCCAAAUCAUCAAAGGUUGACCUCGGAUCAGGUAAGGAUACCCGCUGAACUUA